UAAUUAACCUAUAAUUCGAAUCUAAAGUCACGUGGAUGGAAAUUCAAAUUCGUAGGCGUUACGUUUUGGCUGUAGGUCAGGAAUCGGGAUGCAUUGAUAAGUGAAUAUUAUAGAUUUUCUUGAACAAAAAGGUAGUUAAAGUGUUGGACAUGCUCUCAAAGGUCGGAGGGACGGAAACACGUGAAUAUGUAAAAAGAAACAUAUGAAAUGAAAAUGAUGUCACACACGCUAUUGGGCGCUACAAACGCUACAUAUCCUCCGGACAGACGAGGGGUGCUGAAAGAAGGUCAUAUCUUAAAGCAUCACACCUCAAAAUUCGUGCUAAUUCUCAUGGAUAUCUAAAAGUAUAACUUUGUGAAGUAACUAAAAGGCAGCAAUUUAUACAUUACUGACAAUUAUCAAAGGAGGUCAAAAUAUGCAAAAUGGCACUUAAUGUUUUAGAAAUGCUGUAGAAAUAUAGUUAAA
Ruditapes philippinarum (Manila clam) is the source of this 465-nucleotide long non-coding RNA. RefSeq lists it as uncharacterized. The record is from RefSeq and is a predicted model, not a curated record. The transcript is spliced from 3 exons. NCBI's taxonomy places the organism in Eukaryota, Metazoa, Mollusca, Bivalvia, Venerida, Veneridae.